GUGAGUCCUUGCCCAGACCAUGAGGGAGACUUGGGGGGCUCUGGCCUGCAGCCCAGGGAGGGCGGAACCCCAAACCCGCCGGGCUGGUUCUGCGGCCCCGCCCCGCCCCCAGCUGCGAGCGCGUAGGGCCGCCUGCUGGGCCGCCCGGGCCAUCCAUCCCCGCCUGUCAGCCUCUGUUGUCAGGCAUUUGGGGCGUGCAAUUCUCUGCCGAAUUUAGCAGCAUACAAGAGGCUCCACUUGCAAGUAUUUCCCAGUUGUGUGUUUUUCGGCGGGGUAGGGCCCUGGGCGCCUCCUACUUCUGAAAGACACAGGUUGCUGCCAGAUGGCCCAACAGUGCUGUGGCCUCCCCUCCAGCUCCCCUUGGGGGAUGUGGGGUGACAGUGUGAGUCGCUCUCUGAUGUCUGGCUGCCAGGGAGGCAAAGAACAGCCAUCCGAGGUCCUGGCCAACUUUCUCUGUGAAAGGGCCUUGACGCUUCUCCACCUUCCUGGAAUUCUUAUGAUCCCUUCUCCAGUCCCCAGAUGGGCAGGCCUAUAUGUAAGCCUUGUUUCCAGAACCAGACAAAGCUGGAUUUGAAACCGGGCGAGCCAUUGAGCAGCUAUGACCUUGCAGAAGCGGCAUAGCCUCCGAGCCCCAGUGUCUCCAUCUAGGAAAACGGGGCUAGAUCAGUGAUCCUUAGUCUGGAGCUGGCAUCGGAAUCACGCCCGAAGGGGGCUCUUUAAAACGGACUGGAGCCUGGUCCCCGAGUGUCUGAUUCAGUGGGUGGAGCCUGAGGACUUAUUUCUAACAUGUUCCUGGGUGGUGCUGCCGCUGUGGACUGGGAACACGUUUUGAGACCCCACACCCAGCUCCGGGCUUGGUAACACCUGGGGUUUUGAGGCAGAAGCAGGAACUUGGCACAUAGUAACUGGUUUUGUUCGCGCUAGCCGAUCUCCUGUAUUGAAUAGUUUCCCAUCUUAGUGUCUGAGAAGCUCCACAGCUGGAGGUGGCGGCUCUUGGUCUCGGACCCCCAUGUGAUAUCUGGUUUGUGAUUGCUUUGAUGAACCAUUUGGGUCCAGGUGCUCCUGUUCACACCAUCUUCCCUAUCUGGGAGUUGUGCCCCACCCCCACUGUAAGGGCUCCACUGAGCUUUGGGAGCCUGUGGGGCUUAACAGGGAGAUCUUGCUACAAGUAUCUGGUGCUAAGUUACGGGAGAUUGUCAGUCAGUUUGACGUGAGCUAGGAUCUCCACAGUGCUGGUGACCUUGGGCGAGUGUCUCCCUGUAAAAUGAUCAGGAUGCCUGCUGGAAAGGGUGGUGAGAGGAUUAAGUGCGUUAAGACGGCCGUCCUCCCCUGCAGGCUUCGCUGGAGUUGGCCUCCUCCAUUGUGAUCCGUGGUUAUUGCUAGGAGUGGCUGCAGGGUGUGGGGGCUGGGCUGCCUCAGAGCUCCUCCCCUACCAGCCCACCUGCCGAAGCACGUGGCCCAGCCUCAGGGCAAAGGGGAAUCUGGUGCUCCUUGGGAAGGCGGCCAGCGCGGCUCUCUGGAGUGGUUGAGUCCAGCCGGAGGUAGAGGCCUGUCCCCGGCUGCUCGAGUUGUUCCAUGAUGGGGUCAGGAUUUGGGUCACCCACCCGAGGUCUGGGGAGAAGUGUCUUGCCCAAGGUCACAAGGCCACCACCAGUAGACCCAGGAUGGGGUUCCAGGUGGCUUGACUUGCAGCCAGCGCCUGUGCCCAUGGCACCCCCUCACCCCAGCUGUCUGGGUUAUUUUGGGCUUCGUCCCGUGCCAGCUGUCUGCUGGCAUCCCUGCCCGGGACUGUCUGGUUUUAAGUAACCGGCGUGGUGCUGUUGGCUCCUCUUGUGAGGGCCAGGGCUGGGUUUUCAAUCCUGGAUGAACUGUCCUGGGUCCGUCUCCUUUGCCGGGAGGGAAGGGUAUUCCUGCCCAGACUCCUAGCUGCCCUAGUACAGCAAGAGGGUGAAAGCACCUGGUAAAAAUUGAGGUUCACAUUGUUAAGAUCCCAGAAGCCUUUUCUCUCCUUCUCCCUUUCCAUACUCCCUGAAAUCUAAGUUUUAAAUUUGAUUCUAUCAUUAAUCCCCCUUGAUUUCACAUGACCCUCUACCGCCGAGGGUGUGGCUCCCCCUUUGCAUAGGUGCUCUCCGGGUGGGGUCUUUACUCCCCGCCUGCGUUGGAUAAUUGAUGUAUGGCUCCCUUCCAGCUGCACCUGGGAGGGCUCCAGCCAGUUCCUCCCCUCCGGCCCUCGAUCCAAUCAGGGAGCCGGUGGGUGCUCAGCUGUGGUCUGAGUGUGGUUCUCGGCGCGGUGUCGGGACCCACCUGGCUGGACUGUACCCUCCUCCCUCUGCUUCGGUCCCUCUUAGUCCCGCCACGGUCGCCACCUGGGGCCUGGAGGGCGGGGCAGUUUGUCCUGCUGCUAUCCCUGCUGGUCCCUCGAGGGCGCCCCGUCCACCGGUCACCCAGCGAGCUUGGGGCGGGGCCGCUGCUGGCGCCGGGUCCUGGGGCCUGCUGAGAGAGGGCCACGCCAGCGGAAGGGCCGGCGGGGAGGUGGCAGGGCUUGCCUUACUACUGAGACGCCGGCGUCCCCGCCUCUUCCGGCCCCUCCACCCAGAGCCCUAGCGUGGAAUAUGACCUUUCGGACCCUCGGGGUGGAGAGACGCCGAAGCCUCUGCCCGGGCUCUACCGUGAGUCGGCUCAGCCAUCUCAGGUUGCCUGGCCCAGUGCGUCUCUGGCUGGCCUGUAACCUCCAGCAAGCUCCUGCCUCACCCGCCACCCCCCAGCGCUGGGAGGAGCAGGUCGGGCAAUGUUUUGAGCUGUUGCUGAAUCUGGCUUUUGUGAGGGGAGCUUUUGGCACUCCAGGAGUGGUCCUGUCCCGGGCUGGUCCCUGAGUGCUCGUGGGCAGCUGAGGCCUGGAGGCUGCUCAGGGAUGGUAGAUGUACUUGCCAGCCCACCUCCCAUCCCUGCGACCUCAGGGAGUAGCUUCAUCCCUGAAGGCUCUGUCUUCUGCCUCAUGUGAGUGUUACCUCUACAGCGUUCUCAGGCACCCAGGGAAGUGGGUGCCACAGCAUUGCCUCACUGGGGCUGGCCAGGCUUUGCUCUGACAACUCAGCAGUGGCUGGGCCCCUGCUAUUCCCUGGGGCUCAGUUUCCCUGUUGGCCUCACUAUGGCGUCGGCCUCUGUGCAGACACCGAUGAGUUGACCCCACAGAUGCCACCUGGCCACUCCCCCAGCCUUCAGUGGCCCAACAACUCUUGUGUCAAGUACCAGCUUAAAGAGUCUUUUUUUGCCUUCUCAAACUCUCCAGGAAUUCCUGGUGACUGGAAGGGGAGUGACUCGGGUCCUCAACCUCUUGGAGGUAGGGGAGCUAGCUGCCUCUCUGGUGGGCGCACGCAGCUCUUCAGCUGGCCCAGCUCAGCCCAGCCUCCAAGGAAGCUGCGAGCAGCUGGCUUGGCUCCGAGGUAUUUUUAGCUACAGAUCAGCCCUGCUCUAUCACCACGACAGGAGCUCAGGGUCCAGCUGGUGGUUGGGCUCCUCUCCUGUCCCCCACUCCCGUGGAGCCUGGCAGAGGGCGCUGGGCAUCCACUCUACAGCCCGGGGCCGGGUGCGGUUAAGGGGAGCCUAGUCUCUCACCCCGAGCCCGCGCGCACGCAGGCGCCCCGGGGCGAAGUGAGGUGGGCAGACACGACCCUCACAUCAGCAUCUUCCCCGGUGCCACCGCCGCUACGUCCUGUGGGGAAACUGAGGCCAGAGGCAGCUAGGUGCGAAGCCACGCCGCUGGGGCAGUGCAAAGCUGAAGGGCUUUUUCCGGAGCUCGAGGCCGGGGGCUCCUCGAACCCGGUGCGGAGGCACAGCCCGCCAAUCCGGGAGGCCCUGUCCGCGCCGGCCAAUCGGAGCGUCCCUGCCGAAGGAGGUGCCUGCCAAUCCGGGGCGCCCUGA
This is an RNA transcript of Sapajus apella (tufted capuchin), 3921 nucleotides long. RefSeq lists it as uncharacterized. The record is from RefSeq and is a predicted model, not a curated record. The transcript has 3 exons. NCBI's taxonomy places the organism in Eukaryota, Metazoa, Chordata, Mammalia, Primates, Cebidae.